This 1543-nucleotide long non-coding RNA is filed under the name Anser brachyrhynchus (Pink-footed goose). Its description in RNAcentral is "lncRNA (ENSABRG00000005330.1)". The record is from RNAcentral. Lineage: Eukaryota; Metazoa; Chordata; Aves; Anseriformes; Anatidae.
AACUGUUUUCUCCUUGUAUUUAAAAAUAAAAUAAAAUAACCCUCCAAACCCUUAACUAAUUAACCCUAGCGCUUGUUUGCCAUCACUAACUCUCAUAAACCUUGUUAGUGCCUGAGAACAAUAAAUAGGACUAUCUGUCUCUCACUUUGGGGGUAAGCAAACAUUGAGCAAUAUCAACGGACUUCACAUGAACUUGUUUAAGACCAUUCUAGAACUUAGAAAAUUGUUUUGUGUUACUUAAUAUUUACAUUAGCAUGACACAGACUUUGUUGUCACAAGUCAAAUAUAACCACGGCCAUGGGAAUAAACAGUAAUUUCCUGAGGAGGCUGUUGGGGAUCAUUUUGGCCAGGGAGAUCCUCCAUCUCCACAGCUUUUCUUACUGGUUCAGUGGUGCUCACAGGAAUAAGCAAGGCCUUUCUGUAUGUGCCAGGGAACAUCAUCCAUCCGCCCCAGUGAGAGCUGUGCAUGCCAGGCAAGGAUGGAAACGGAUAGGCAGAGCAGUAGCCACUGUCAGGACAGAGGACGAUGUUGGGCUUUUUUGAUGGUGUGUAAGUAACCGUUUGAACAGGAAAAUCAAUUAAUUUCAGGUUGGUGCAAUCACAGUCUAGACGAAGAAAAUCAAAGCAAAUCAACAUCAAUUUGCCUCUGACCUGAAAAAAAAGAAGAGAGGGGACUGCCUUUUAGCAGCAUAGAUGGAUAUUCACAACAGCAGCCUGAGCUUUGAAGCUCAUUUCUAUUUGCAGGCAGAUGAGCGUGGCUUGUGUCAGGGAAUUGAGAGGCAAGCAUGACUGACUAACACGGGCCAGAAGGAAAGGUGUUAUGUGGGGUUCUUAAUAGGCCUUGCUGCUAAUUUGGCAGGGAGAUUACAUUCUGGUUUUCAGUCAGUUAUCUACUGAUUUCGUAUGCAAGAAUGUAAUUGUUGUUAAUAUUUUGAUUACUGGUCUGUUUGGCUCAGGUGCAGGUAAUAGCCAUGAAUUGGCUUCAAAUUUUUUUGAUAUGACACUUUUCUUCUUUCUCUGCCCCAGCUCCCAGAUCUGUAAAACCACAGCAGUCUGAAAUGCAGUGUCAGUGUUUCCAAGCGCAGGAGAGGAGUGAAUUUUUAUCCCAGUUUCAGCCAAGAAAUUAGAGAACAAAGCUCUCCAAGUAGCUCAGAGCCAUUCCCCAGAUCCUUUGGCUUUAUUUCCUAGAUUCUGAUGGAAAAAAAUGGCCCUUAUGUGUUGACUGAGAAUAACAUUUGAGCCGAGUAAUCUUUUUCAUAGAAGAUGUUCAUACAUCAACAUGGCUUUCAGGCUGACCCUCUUGUUCUCUGAGCUUAGAGCAUGGCUGGUACAACAGCACAGGGUGCCUACUUCCAUCCAUCCAGGCAUUGCCUUUUUCUCUAAUCACCUUUCAGGCUAGGAGGGCAAAUAUCCUUUUCCCACCACAAUAACUCAUUGUCCUGUCCAACUGCACAUAUUGCAGUAGUCACUGCAGGCAGGUCAUAGCAUAUAGCUCUCCAUGUUCUCACCGCACAUUGUGCACUGGAAAUUAAACAGCUAUAAG